GGGCCGUUAGCUCAGCGGUCGAGCAGUUGGCUUUUAACCAAUUGGUCGAUGGUUCGAAUCCAUCACGGCCCA
Molecule: transfer RNA, 72 nt
Filed under: Porticoccaceae bacterium
Lineage: Bacteria; Pseudomonadati; Pseudomonadota; Gammaproteobacteria; Cellvibrionales; Porticoccaceae
Description: tRNA-Lys
Rfam family: tRNA
About the family: Transfer RNA (tRNA) molecules are approximately 80 nucleotides in length. Their secondary structure includes four short double-helical elements and three loops (D, anti-codon, and T loops).
Source: RNAcentral